RNAcentral lists this non-coding RNA (24 nucleotides) under Arabidopsis thaliana (thale cress). The record is from RNAcentral. Lineage: Eukaryota; Viridiplantae; Streptophyta; Magnoliopsida; Brassicales; Brassicaceae.
UUCGUGUUAUGCAUUUUCUCCUGC